UUCCGGUUGAUCCCGCCGGAGGCUACCGCUAUUGGAGUUCGAUUAAGCCAUGCGAGUCGCGAGUCUUAGGGACUCGGCGUACCGCUCAGUAACACGUGGGUAACCUGCCCUAUGCUGGGGGAUAACCUCGGGAAACUGAGAAUAAUACCCCAUAGUUCACCACGCCUGGAACGGUGGGUGGACCAAAGCUCCGGCGGCAUAGGAUGGGCCUGCGGCGUAUCAGGUUGUAGGGGGUGUAAUGUACCCUCUAGCCCUCUACGCGUACGGGUGUUGAGAGACAUCGCCCGGAGAUGGAUUCUGAGACACGAAUCCAGACCCUACGGGGUGCAGCAGGCGCGAAAACUUGGCAAUGCGAGAAAUCGUGACCAGGGAACUCCAAGUGCAUCGGGUAAGACCGAUGCUUUUCUUGACUCUUCAAAGGUCUUGGAAUAAGGGGUGGGUAAGGACGGUGCCAGCCGCCGCGGUAAUACCGGCGCCCCAAGUGGUAGUCGCUUUUAUUGGGCCUAAAACGUCCGUAGCCGGUCUGGUACAUUCGUGGGUAAAUCAACCAGCUCAACUGGUUGAAUUCUGCGAGCACGGCCAGACUUGGGACCGGGAGAGGUGUGGGGUACUCUCAGGGUAGGGGUAAAAUCCUGUCAUCCUGAGAGGACCACCUGUUGCGAAGGCGCCACACUAGAACGGAUCCGACGGUCAGGGACGAAGCCUAGGGGCACGAACCGGAUUAGAUACCCGGGUAGUCCUAGGUGUAAACGCUGUGGACUUGAUGUUGGGGGCGCUCCGAGCGCACUCAGUGUCGAAGCGAAGGUGAUAAGUCCACUGCCUGGGGAGUACGGUCGCAAGGCUGAAACUUAAAGGAAUUGGCGGGGGAGCACCGCAACCUGAGGAUUGUGCGGUUUAAUUGGAGUCAACGCCGGA
Molecule: ribosomal RNA, 915 nt
Filed under: uncultured marine archaeon
Lineage: Archaea
Description: bacterial SSU rRNA
Rfam family: Archaeal small subunit ribosomal RNA
Source: RNAcentral